RNAcentral lists this ribosomal RNA (1493 nucleotides) under Actinomycetota bacterium. Its description in RNAcentral is "bacterial SSU rRNA". It matches the Rfam family "Bacterial small subunit ribosomal RNA". Lineage: Bacteria; Bacillati; Actinomycetota. The record is from RNAcentral.
UUGAUGACGAGUUUGAUCCUGGCUCAGGAUCAACGCUGGCGGCGUGCCUAAUGCAUGCAAGUCGAACGGUACCACUUCGGUGGUGCCGUGGCGAACGGCUGAGGAACACGUGCGUAUCCGCCUUCUCGUGGGGAAUAACCCGUGGAAACACGGGCUAAUACCGCGUACGCUUGCUUCGGCAAGGAAAGCCUUCGGGCGCGGGAAGAGGAGCGCGCGGCCCAUCAGGUCGAUGGCGGGGUAAUGGCCCACCAUGCCUUUGACGGGUCGCUGGUCUGUGAGGACGGCCAGCCAGACUGGGACUGCGACACGGCCCAGACACCUACGGGUGGCAGCAGCAAGGAAUCUUCGGCAAUGGGCGCAAGCCUGACCGAGCAACGCCGCGUGGAGGACGACGGCCUUCGGGUUGUAAACUCCUUUUCUGAGGGAAGAUUCGGACGGUACCUCAGGAAUCAGCCCCGGCUAACUCUGUGCCAGCAGCCGCGGUAAUACAGAGGGGGCAAGCGUUGUCCGGACUUACUGGGCGUACAGCGCGCGCAGGCGGUCUCAUAUGUGCUUGGUGACAUCGGCUCGCUCAACGAGCCGCGGCCCGAGUAGACAGUGAGGCUGGAGGCAGGGAGAGGGAUGUGGAAUACCCGGUGGAGCGGUGAAAUGCGUAGAGAUCGGGUGGAACACCAGCGGCGAAGGCGGCAUCCUGGCCCUGAACUGACGCUGAGGCGCGAUAGCGUGGGGAGCAAACGGGAUUAGAUACCCCGGUAGUCCACGCCGUAAACGAUGUGGAGCCGGUGCUGGACAGUGAUUGCGCUGUUCGGUGCCCCAGCUUACGCGAUGACUCCACCGCCUGGGAACUACGGCCGCAAGGCUAAAACUCAAAGGAAUUGACGGGGGCCCGCACAAGCAGCGGAGCGUGUGGUUUAAUUCGACGCAACACGCAACACCUCACCUAGGUUUGACAUGCACCUGCAAGCUGCGGAAACGUAGCCGCUUUCGAAGGUGGUGCACAGGUGCUGCAUGGCUGUCGUCAGCUCGUGUCGUGAGAUGUUGGGUUAAGUCCCGCAACGAGCGCAACCCUUGCCCCAUGUUACUUGUGUCAUGGGGGACUGCCGGUAUUGCAUACCGGAGGAAGGCGGGGAUGACGUCAAGUCCGCAUGGCCCUUACGCCUAGGGCGACACACACGCUACAAUGGACGGCGAAAUACGACGCUACCACGCGAGUGGAUGCUAAUCGGGAAGCCCGUCCGUAGUGCAGAUUGGAGGCUGCAACUCGCCUCCAUGAAGCCGGAGUUGCUAGUAACCGCGUGUCAGCAGAGCGCGGUGAAUACGUACCCGGGCCUUGUACACACCGCCCGUCACGUCAUGGGAGUCGGGAACACCUGAAGUCCGUGGGGCGACCUGCCAGCAAUGGUGGGAGCCAGCGGCCGAGGGUGGGCCUGGCGACUGGGACGAAGUCGUAACAAGGUAGCCGUACCGGAAGGUGCCGCUGGAUCACCUCCUUU